UGUAUGUACAUGCCUUUCUGUAGUCUGACACUUGACUUAGUCUUUUGGUAUUUUUGGAGGGGUAUUUUGGACUGUUCACAUCUUUCUUUUUCCUCUUCUCCCUUCGCGCUGCUGCGUUUUUGCCGCUAUUCGGCUACUUUUUCUCAUCAAUGGAAAAUUCUCAACGAUCUCAUACUUUCCGCUCGAAGACCGCCGAGCCGAUGCCCUCGGCAACCUCAAAUCCCUCCCCGACGAACUCAUCUGCACCAUCUUAGAUUACGUCACUCCUCGAGACAUUGCUCGUCUCGCUUGCGUCAUCAGCUUUUGUGUUAUGUAUAUAUUCUGCAACGAAGAGCAGCUUUGGAUGAGUCUUUGCCUCAAGAAAGUCAACGAUCCACUUCAAUACAAGGUCUCCUGGAAAAAGACAGCAUUGCAUUUGUAAUGAUGCAGGGAGAAUUUGCCGAAUGAAUAUGUAGAAUAUUGCAGAAAACCAUUGCAGUUCGGGUAUUCCGUUUGUGAUGGACUUUUUUCGGGUUUUACUAUGAUGGGAGGCUUAUCUUCGGUUGUGCCGCCUAGGUUCUGGCUAAAAAAAAAUUUUUGCAGUUGGGGUAUUGAAUCAAAACACGGAGGUUUCAUCGCAACCGAUUCUGUUUGAGCAUGGAUGAUGCAUUGAGAAAUGUUUAUCCAGAGAUGCAAGUGGCUUGACUGAGAUGCUUUGAUGCAGGCAAUAUUAUGGUUGCUUUUGCUUAAUAUUUUUUUGCUGAUUAUUUUUUUAUGUUUCCUAUCAUUCAAUUUUUUAUAUAACUUGAACAUUUUAAUGAUGAUAAAUGUUAUCAAGUCUCAGUUGUUUUAUGCAUUGUUGAUUGGAACUACCUAUCAAAGCUAAAUGUGUUGGAUUGACUUUUAACAGUUGCAUGUACUGUUACGUUUGUAGAGUUGUCAUGGACUGUAGGCGAAGUUGUGAAGUAAAGUUUAUUUCAUUUAGCUGGCGUUUGUGAAGACAGAUGGGUGGAAGAGCAGAUGGAUAUUAUCAAUUGAAAAAGGAAGCGACGGAAAAAGUCUUCAACUUUAAUUUAGUAGUUUAAUUAUUUGCUUAUGUGAUUAUUACUUAUUAGUUGAUUGAAUUGUGAAGAUUUAGCUUAGUUAAUGUUAAAGAUUGAUUAAUUUUGGUUGGAAAAUAUUUCGCAGAUAAAGUUGUUGAGAAAUUGGAAAGAGACUCAUAUAAAGCAAAUGCGCCAUGGCAUUGCCACUCAAAUUCGGGUAUAUCCUUCCUUUUUUUGUUUAUUAAAUAUUAUCUAGUGAAGUGCAUAUACGUUUUUUAUUUGGUUCUGAAUCAGCUUCAUAGGUAGAAUUUUGCAAAGUAGCUAGGUGGAUGAUGUCAACUUUACAUCAGAUUUAGGUUGAAGGAUGGGACCAAAUUUUUGUACAAAGGGUUUCGAGGUUGAGUGAAAAAUUAGUUUGAACAAAUUGUUCGAUCUGAGGAUUUAAUUUUCAUUUAAAAGUAUCAGUUACAACACCAUGGAUGAGGGCAAAGUAUUUGUCAUUAUCUGAUGAUAUGCUUAUAAAACUUUGGGACUGGGAGAAGGUUUGGUGUGUACUUUUUCUCUAUAGUUCUUACUUCAUUUGGUGUAAUCAUGCUGAAUUUGGAUUGGCUCUGUUUGAAAUUCCUACAUUUGGAACCUUGGCUCCCCGACCCAAAUUUUGCUUUGAAAUUUGUGUCAAAAUAAUCGAUGCUGCUAUUGUCGAAGCAGAGGGUGAUAUUGAAACACAAGUAUGUUUCCUGCUUCAGGAAAGGUGCAUUAAUGUAAUUCUGAUUCCUUCACCUAUUCUUUUGGACUCAUAUUCGAUGGGCUAACCUAUGAUUUGCUAUGAGCCUUGCUAGAGAGGAGUUAAGAAAGUAUUAACAAUCCUGCAAUAUAGUUGUGUAGGACUGUUGUACGUUAGAAUAAUGGUUCUAACUAUCCUGUUUCUUUCUUCCCAUUGGCAUCGGGUACAUAAUAACAAGAGGAAUUGAAAGCAAAAUUUAAGAAGUGGAUUUGAGACAAAUCUGAUGUUUAGAUUUCCAGUAAUCAUGAAGAAGACGAGGUUUGAAUAUAUUUGAUAUUGUCUAUUCAUUAAGUAAUUUUUUUUUUUUUUCAAUUUUUCUAUCUUGUCACCCUUCUUUAUUUGAGUGGAAUUGGAUUAAAUGUAUGGGAAAAAGGUGGUCUUCUUAAUGCAGAUCUUAGUUUAGCAGUAGCUUUUUUGCACAUUUGGUGUCUUAGUGUUUGAAGGAUGAUUGGAGUUCAAAAUUUCUAUAGAGAAUAGAGACGGUUCAAUAAGUUCAAAAACUUAAAGUGAAAUAUUCAAAUGAGAUUUUUUUUAUUGAAAUUAAAAAAAUUAUUAAA
Non-coding RNA from Theobroma cacao (cacao), 2363 nucleotides. The record is from RefSeq and is a predicted model, not a curated record. Lineage: Eukaryota; Viridiplantae; Streptophyta; Magnoliopsida; Malvales; Malvaceae.